Molecule: ribosomal RNA, 482 nt
Filed under: uncultured bacterium
Lineage: Bacteria
Description: partial 16S ribosomal RNA
Rfam family: Bacterial small subunit ribosomal RNA
Source: RNAcentral
GACGAACGCUGGCGGCGUGCUUAACACAUGCAAGUCGAACGCUGAAGCUCAGCUUGCUGGGUGGAUGAGUGGCGAACGGGUGAGUAACACGUGAGUAACCUGCCCUCUUCUUUGGGAUAACGCCCGGAAACGGGUGCUAAUACUGGAUAUUCACUGAUUCUCGCAUGGGGGUUGGUGGAAAGGUUUUUUCUGGUGGGGGGUGGGCUCGCGGCCUAUCAGCUUGUUGGUGGGGUGAUGGCCUACCAAGGCUUUGACGGGUAGCCGGCCUGAGAGGGUGACCGGUCACAUUGGGACUGAGAUACGGCCCAGACUCCUACGGGAGGCAGCAGUGGGGAAUAUUGCACAAUGGGCGAAAGCCUGAUGCAGCGACGCCGCGUGAGGGAUGGAGGCCUUCGGGUUGUAAACCUCUUUCGCUCAUGGUCAAGCCGCAGCUUUGGGUUGUGGUGAGGGUAGUGGGUAAAGAAGCGCCGGCUAACUACGUG